CGCAUUUGAUUAUUUGAUUUU
This 21-nucleotide non-coding RNA is filed under the name Caenorhabditis elegans. Lineage: Eukaryota; Metazoa; Nematoda; Chromadorea; Rhabditida; Rhabditidae. The record is from RNAcentral.